UCAUAUGCUUGUCUCAAAGAUUAAGCCAUGCAUGUCUAAGUAUAAGCAAUCUAUACGGUGAAACUGCGAAUGGCUCAUUAAAUCAGUUAUCGUUUAUUUGAUAGUACCUUACUACUUGGAUACCUGUGGUAAUUCUAGAGCUAAUACAUGCUAAAAACCUCGACUUCGGAAGGGGUGUAUUUAUUAGAUAAAAAACCAAUGCCCUUCGGGGCUCCUUGGUGAUUCAUAAUAACUUAACGAAUCGCAUGGCCUUGAGCCGGCGAUGGUUCAUUCAAAUUUCUGCCCUAUCAACUUUCGAUGGUAGUAUAGAGGACUACCAUGGUUUCUACGGGUAACGGGGAAUUAGGGUUCUAUUCCGGAGAGGGAGCCUGAGAAACGGCUACCACAUCCAAGGAAGGCAGCAGGCGCGCAAAUUACCCAAUCCCGACACGGGGAGGUAGUGACAAUAAAUACUGAUCCAGGGCUCUUUUGGGUCUUGGAAUUGGAAUGAGUACAAUUUAAAUCCCUUAACGAGGAACAAUUGGAGGGCAAGUCUGGUGCCAGCAGCCGCGGUAAUUCCAGCUCCAAUAGCGUAUAUUAAAGUUGUUGCAGUUAAAAAGCUCGUAGUUGAAACUUGGGCCUGGCUGACCGGUCCGCCUCACCGCGUGCACUGGCUCGGCCGGGCCUUUCCUUCUGGGGAACCGCAUGGCCUUCAUUGGUCGUGUUGGGGAUCCAGGACUUUUACUUUGAAAAAAUUAGAGUGUUCAAAGCAGGCCUAUGCUCGAAUACAUUAGCAUGGAAUAAUAGAAUAGGACGUGUGGUUCUAUUUUGUUGGUUUCUAGGACCGCCGUAAUGAUUAAUAGGGAUAGUCGGGGGCAUCAGUAUUCAAUUGUCAGAGGUGAAAUUCUUGGAUUUAUUGAAGACUAACUACUGCGAAAGCAUUUGCCAAGGAUGUUUUCAUUAAUCAGUGAACGAAAGUUAGGGGAUCGAAGACGAUCAGAUACCGUCGUAGUCUUAACCAUAAACUAUGCCGACUGGGGAUCGGACGGUGUUAUUAUUUUGACCCGUUCGGCACCCUACGAGAAAUCAAAGUUCUUUGGGUUCUGGGGGGAGUAUGGUCGCAAGGCUGAAACUUAAAGAUAUUGACGGAAGGGCACCACCAGGCGUGGAGCCUGCGGCUUAAUUUGACUCAACACGGGGAAACUCACCAGGUCCAGACACAAUAAGGAUUGACAGAUUGAGAGCUCUUUCUUGAUUUUAUGGGUGGUGGUGCAUGGCCGUUCUUAGUUGGUGGAUUGAUUUGUCUGCUUAAUUGCGAUAACGAACGAGACCUUAACCUGCUAAAUAGCCAGGUCAGCUUUGGCUGGCCGCCGGCUUCUUAGAGGGACUAUCGGCUCAAGCCGAUGGAAGUUUGAGGCAAUAACAGGUCUGUGAUGCCCUUAGAUGCUCUGGGCCGCACGCGCGCUACACUGACAGAGACAACGAGUUCAUCUCCUUGACCGGAAGGUUUGGGUAAUCUUGUUAAACUCUGUCGUGCUGGGGAUAGAGCAUUGCAAUUAUUGCUCUUCAACGAGGAAUGCCUAGUAAGCGCGAGUCAUCAGCUCGCGUUGAUUACGUCCCUGCCCUUUGUACACACCGCCCGUCGCUACUACCGAUUGAAUGGCUCAGUGAGGCCUUCGGACUGGCCCAGAGAGGUCGGCAACGACCACUCCGGGCCGGAAAGUUGGUC
RNAcentral lists this ribosomal RNA (1708 nucleotides) under Cladonia bellidiflora. Its description in RNAcentral is "SSU rRNA". It matches the Rfam family "Eukaryotic small subunit ribosomal RNA". The record is from RNAcentral. Lineage: Eukaryota; Fungi; Ascomycota; Lecanoromycetes; Lecanorales; Cladoniaceae.